AUGGAGGCCGCCGCGUCGGCGUCGGCGUCGGCGCCGCGCCUGCUGCAGUGCGGGGGGUUCGGCCGGGGCCGCGUCGUGGCCGGGCUCGUCUCCCCGCUCCCGCGCCGCUCCACGCACCAACACCAGCGCCGCCUCCGCCGCGUGCUCGCCGUCGCCACCGAGCCCAGGCCGCCCCCGCCCUCGCCGCUGGCCCCGCCCCGCACCGGCAGGACCAGGGCCAACACCAUCCAGUCCACCAGGUUCGGGGACGUGUCCAAGGAGAUCAAGCGGGUGCGGAAGCAGAUGGAGGAGGACGAGCAGCUGGCCUCCCUCAUGCGCGGCCUCCGCGGCCAGAACCUCCGCGACGACCAGUUCGCCGACAAGGACGUCACCAUGCGACUCGUCGAGGUGACCAACACCGAGGGGCUGCCUCUCGUGUACAGCCCCGAGAUCAUUUCGGCCUACUGGGGCAAAAGGCCGGGUGCCGUCGCCACCCGAGCCGUGCAAUUGUUAUCUGUGGCUGGUGGUUUCAUCUCCCACAUCAUAUCUGACCUCAUCACCGACAAAAUCAAGGAGAACGAAGUGACGCGCGCGAUCGAGCUGAGGGAGAUCGUCACGUCUCUGGGCCCUGCCUACAUCAAGCUCGGCCAGGCGCUGAGCAUCCGGCCCGACAUUCUGUCCCCUGCGGCGAUGACCGAGCUGCAGAAGCUAUGCGACAAGGUUCCUUCGUUUCCUGACGAUAUCGCGAUGGCUCUCCUGGAAGAAGAGCUUGGCCGGCCAUGGCAAGAUAUAUACUCGGAACUGUCUCCCUCACCAAUUGCUGCAGCAUCUCUGGGACAGGUGUACAAAGGCCGGUUGAAAGACACUGGAGAACUGGUGGCUGUGAAAGUGCAAAGGCCAUUUGUACUUGAGACUGUCACCAUAGAUCUAUUCAUCAUUAGAAAUUUGGGGUUGGUUCUCAAGAGAUUUCCGCAGGUCGCCCUUGAUGUUGUUGGCCUAGUAGAUGAGUGGGCUGCCCGGUUUUUUGAAGAACUCGAUUAUGUCAACGAAGGGGAAAAUGGCACCCGCUUCGCUGAAAUGAUGAGAGAAGAUCUUCCUCAGGUUGUUGUACCAAAGACGUACCCUGAAUAUACGUCCAGAAAAGUUCUUACCACAGGGUGGGUAGAUGGUGAGAAGCUUUCACAGAGUACUGAGGAUGAUGUUGGGUCGUUGGUUAAUGUUGGUGUCAUAUGCUAUCUAAAACAGUUACUUGAUACUGGAUUCUUCCAUGCCGACCCUCAUCCUGGAAAUAUGAUUAGGACACCUGAUGGAAAGCUUUGUAUUCUUGAUUUUGGGCUUGUGACAAAACUGACAGAUGAUCAGAAGUACGGAAUGAUUGAAGCAAUAGCUCACCUUAUUCAUCGUGAUUAUGAUGCAAUCGUGAAGGACUUUGUGAAGCUUGGUUUUAUCCCUGAGGGAGUUAACUUGGAUCCAAUCUUACCUGUGCUGGCUAAAGUUUUUGAUCAGGCACUUGAAGGAGGUGGUGCGAAGAAUAUUAACUUUCAAGAGUUGGCAGCGGAUCUAGCACAGAUAACAUUUGAUUACCCAUUCAAGAUACCUCCGUAUUUUGCUUUGAUUAUUAGAGCAAUUGGAGUACUGGAAGGUAUUGCUUUGGUGGGAGACCCUGAAUUUGCCAUUGUGGAUGAAGCAUAUCCUUAUAUUGCACAGAGGCUGCUAACGGAUGAAUCACCUCGACUAAGGAGUGCCUUGCGUUACACAAUAUAUGGCAAAACAGGUGUCUUUGACGCAGAGAGGUUCAUUGACGUCAUGCAAGCUUUCGAGAAUUUUAUUAGUGCAGCAAAGAGCGGUGGUGGGGAGGACAUGAAGGGUAACAUGGCUGAGCUGGGUGCUAUAGGAUUCCAACCUAGCACCAGUUUAGUUCCUGCAUUCCCAAUGGCCAUUUCCCAACCGGAGAACCCAAUCAAAGCUCGGGCUGCUCUCUCUUUUCUACUCUCUGACAGGGGUGACUUCUUCCGGGAGUUCAUUCUUGACGAGAUUGUGAAAGCCAUCGACGCGGUUUCAAGGGAGCAAUUGCUACAAAUUGCUUCAUCUUUUGGGGUCAGGAAUCCCGUCCCGGUUUUCGGCAUGGUUCCUGUGAGGUCCGGGGCAUUGCUUCCUACAAUCACAGAGGAAGACAGGAUCAUCUUGAACAACGUGGAGAAGGUUGCCAAGUUUCUAACGGCUGGGACGGCAAACCAAACAGUCAACGGGGACGUAAAUGUCGUGUCUCUGGUGCAAGAGCUUCUACCCGUGUUGCCGAGCAUCACGUCGAAGAUCCUACCAGAUGUCUUGAGCCGGUUGUCAUCACGUGUAUUCGCACGGGUGAUCCGGGAAUCAUUUUUGUGA
Molecule: ribosomal RNA, 2364 nt
Filed under: Triticum aestivum (bread wheat)
Lineage: Eukaryota; Viridiplantae; Streptophyta; Magnoliopsida; Poales; Poaceae
Description: partial small subunit ribosomal RNA
Source: RNAcentral